Long non-coding RNA from Cebus imitator (Panamanian white-faced capuchin), 1366 nucleotides. RefSeq lists it as uncharacterized. NCBI's taxonomy places the organism in Eukaryota, Metazoa, Chordata, Mammalia, Primates, Cebidae. The record is from RefSeq and is a predicted model, not a curated record. The transcript has 4 exons.
ACCAGGUGUAUUCACUGCCAUCCACGGGACAAACUUGGGUCACCUCACAGUGCCCAGCAGGAGAGGCUCCUGGUGUGCUGGGCGCCCACCACUUCCCGCUGCUGCCUGCCUGUAAUAUCCACUCUGCUAAAGCCUUUCAUCUGCCCCUGAAGGCCCCAGUCCGCAGACUACCCACCCGCUGGGGCCCCAAGCUCUGCAGCAAGCCCAGGACCACUCCUCCCUGCCUGGCCAGCUUCAGAGCCCGGGGCCGCUCCUCCCUGCCUGCCUUUGCCCAAACUGUGCUUGGUUCUCUGGCUUCUCUCCUCUGACUGGAGCCCAGUCCCUGAGCUCAGACCCCCGUCCUUGGAACUGGGCCACACAACAUGCCCUCUUGGCCCAGCCUUCAUCCCAGACAGGCGGCCUGACUUACCUGGAUGAACUUCUCGGGACAGAGGCUCCUCAGGACCUUGGACACCGCCACCUGCUGAGCUUCCUGCCCCCGCUACCUGGUGGGGCCCCUGGGGUGCCCUCGGCAGCUCAGUCCAGCCUGCAUCUGCCGCUCAGCCUUCCAAUGUGGGCAGUGUUUCCCAGCCCCACGGACCAGCCCAUCAUUCAGGGCCAAUAGGAUGGACUCCAGAUGCGGAAUGACACCUCACCAAGUGCUGGCCCCAGGUCCUGCCCACAGAGACGCCUGCAGCAGCGCACAGCUGGCAGGGCCACCUCCACCUCUCUAGCAGCGGGCAGGCUGGUAGAGCAGAUUAGCCCCAAAGCAGGAAAUUCCAGAUGAAAUAUGCAUAAGAAGCAGCCUCAAAACUAACAAAAAGAAAUUGCCUGCUCCUCAGUUCACAGGAGGAGCAGAGAUGAAGAAAAAAAAAGCGCUUGGAAGAGAGAAAAGGAAGCUCCUUCUGCGCAGCGGGCUCCUGGCCCGGGAAGGGUGGUCUGCAGCAGAGUGCGUGCAGGGAGGCACCCUCUGAAACGUCUGGAAAUAGCUGCAGGCCUUCCACUUGGCUCCCAAACUUCUUCAGAGUCCAAAUCACCACAGUGGCCAACUUGGCGGCAGUGACCUCGGCACUCCGUGUCCUCAGGCUGCAACAAAGCCAUCCUACUUGGGCAGUGAGAACAUGGGGCGGGGGCUCCUGACUCCAGUGAGGCCACCCUGGAGGGGAGUCCCAGGCAUCAACCUGAUGUUCAGAACCUUCCUGGCAUCUCAGAAAUGUACUGGGGAGACUGAGGAUCCUUGAGCCAAGUGUCCGUGUUCUCAUUGAACGUCAAACCCACAGCCCACAAGCUUCUCAGGAGCAUGGCACAUGCACCCAGCCCCCAGGCUCUGCCUGGGCAGCACCUCCUGGGCCGCCCUGACCAGCAGACACCACCCGCCCAGCCUCAC